GAAAAAUACUUUUCUAAAAAUAUAUCUAUACCACUUUUUAAUAAAUAUUUUUAUAAAAACAAGAAGUCAAAGUUAAACUUUGGACACUGUGUCAUUGUCCAAAACGACUUGUUUUAUGGGUAGGAAAGAGUAUAUCACUUUGGCUUGUCUACUCGAUCCUUUCCUUGCAUUGCUCAUCUCAAUUGAGGGCAGAAAAGCCUCUGCCUUUCUUUUCCUCCAAACAUGUCACGCCCUAUCCUCUCAUCCUUCUAAUCAUUAUUUCCUCACCUCACUCUCGCACAGCGAUUACAUAUCGUGCGUGACAAACUAGUUCAAGACAUGAAUACACGUAUCACACAACCUUAAGUCGUUUUGGUUUUUUUUUUUUUGUAUACACCUCCCGCCCUACAUUACAAUUUGUAAGGGCCUGUUUGGUUACGGGCGGUAAAGUUUAUCGCCUGUCACAUCAAAUGUUUGAACAUAUACAUGAAGUACUAAAUGUAAACUAUUUAUGAAACUAAAAACAUGGCUAGAGAGUAAUUUGCAACAGGAAUCUUUUGAGCCUAAUUAGUUCAUGAUUGAACACUAAUUGUCAAAUAAAACAAAAUGCUACACCUGUUAAACUUUAACAACCCAAACCAAACACCUCCCAAGUUGUGUCUUGCUUUUGUAAAUACGUAACUUUUGCUACGUACCUAAAUAUACUGUGAAAAAGCUAGAGUAAAUUUUAUUAAUGUAGAAAAUUAGAACGUAUGGAGUAUGUCUGUAGGGAUGAAAACUGAUCGGAUUCGCAUGGACUAUGUUCCUGGUGUCAUCUUUUACCACAUUUUUAUUAGGAAUUGAAUAUGAAUAAUGAUCUUUUUGAAUACGGAUACAAAACAAAUAUCUCGGAUUUGAAUAUCUAUUUGGAUAUUCACUCAAUUCAACUCAAAAUGCAUAUUUGAUAAAUUUAGCAUUACCAAGUUUGUCAAUAACCAAAGUGAAAUAAAAUCAAAUUAGUACACUUCUAAUAGUCUACA
Molecule: long non-coding RNA, 998 nt
Filed under: Sorghum bicolor (sorghum)
Lineage: Eukaryota; Viridiplantae; Streptophyta; Magnoliopsida; Poales; Poaceae
Description: long non-coding RNA (SBIC_LNC007817)
Source: RNAcentral